UUAAAUAGCCGCAGUAUUUUGACUGUGCGAAGGUAGCAUAAUCAAUUGUCUUUUAAUUGAAGGCUUGUAUGAAAGGUUGGAUGAGGGGAUAACUUUCUUUAUAUUAAAAUAUUGAAUUUAAUUUUUAAGUUAAAAAGCUUAAAUUUUUAAAAGGGACGAGAAGACCCUAUAGAAUUUUAUAUUAUUUAUAAAUUAAUUAUUUUGGUUAGUUUUUAAAUAAUUUUAUAAAUAAUAUUUUGUUGGGGUGACAGUGAGAUUUAUUAAACUCUUAUAAUUUAUAUUAUUGUUGAUUAACAUAUUUAUGAUCCUGAUUGUUUGGAUAAUUAGAUUAAAUUACCUUAGGGAUAACAGCGUAAUUUUUUUGGAGAGUUCAUAUCGAUAAAAGAGUUUGCGACCUCGAUGUUGGAUUAAAAUUAAUUUUAAGUGCAGAAGCUUAAUUUUUUAGGUCUGUUCGACCUUUAAAUUUUUACAUGAUCUGAGUUCAAACCG
Molecule: ribosomal RNA, 489 nt
Filed under: Eysarcoris guttigerus
Lineage: Eukaryota; Metazoa; Arthropoda; Insecta; Hemiptera; Pentatomidae
Description: partial 16S ribosomal RNA
Rfam family: Bacterial large subunit ribosomal RNA
Source: RNAcentral